Molecule: long non-coding RNA, 173 nt
Organism: Cervus elaphus (red deer)
Lineage: Eukaryota; Metazoa; Chordata; Mammalia; Artiodactyla; Cervidae
Exons: 3
Source: RefSeq, a predicted model, not a curated record
CCUUUUCAUUUUAGGGGAAGUGACUGGAAAAGUAGGAAAUCAGGAGAUACCUGGAGUAACAGACAACUAUGGCCUUGCAGUACAAAUUGAAGCAGGGCCAAGGCUAACAGAGUUUUGCCAAGAGAAUUCACAGAUCAUAGCAAACAAAAAUUUCCAACAACACAAAAGACAAC